RNAcentral lists this ribosomal RNA (793 nucleotides) under uncultured bacterium. RNAcentral's name for it is "bacterial SSU rRNA". It matches the Rfam family "Bacterial small subunit ribosomal RNA", at positions 8 to 796 of the family's 1533-position model. The record is from RNAcentral.
AGAGUUUGAUCAUGGCUCAGAUUGAACGCUGGCGGCAGGCCUAACACAUGCAAGUCGAGCGGUAGAGAGAAGCUUGCUUCUCUUGAGAGCGGCGGACGGGUGAGUAAUGCCUAGGAAUCUGCCUGGUAGUGGGGGAUAACGUUCGGAAACGGACGCUAAUACCGCAUACGUCCUACGGGAGAAAGCAGGGGACCUUCGGGCCUUGCGCUAUCGGAUGAGCCUAGGUCGGAUUAGCUAGUUGGUGAGGUAAUGGCUCACCAAGGCGACGGUCCGUAACUGGUCUGAGAGGAUGAUCAGUCACACUGGAACUGAGACACGGUCCAGACUCCUACGGGAGGCAGCAGUGGGGAAUAUUGGACAAUGGGCGAAAGCCUGAUCCAGCCAUGCCGCGUGUGUGAAGAAGGUCUUCGGAUUGUAAAGCACUUUAAGUUGGGAGGAAGGGUUGUAGAUUAAUACUCUGCAAUUUUGACGUUACCGACAGAAUAAGCACCGGCUAACUCUGUGCCAGCAGCCGCGGUAAUACAGAGGGUGCAAGCGUUAAUCGGAAUUACUGGGCGUAAAGCGCGCGUAGGUGGUUUGUUAAGUUGGAUGUGAAAUCCCCGGGCUCAACCUGGGAACUGCAUUCAAAACUGACUGACUAGAGUAUGGUAGAGGGUGGUGGAAUUUCCUGUGUAGCGGUGAAAUGCGUAGAUAUAGGAAGGAACACCAGUGGCGAAGGCGACCACCUGGACUAAUACUGACACUGAGGUGCGAAAGCGUGGGGAGCAAACAGGAUUAGAUACCCUGGUAGUCC